GCUUUCUGCCGCAGAGAGGGGAAGCUGCUGAGAAUGUGAGGAAGAAAUGUAUCACGCCAUCUCUCCGGCCGCAGACUUCCUUUGGGCAUCCGAAGGAGACCAGAUCCAGUCGUCAACGCAGUCUGGGCACGGGGUGAGUUGGUGAAGAAGGAUGGAUGAUUUCUACUGGAAGCCCUGGAGGAGAAACACUUAGUGAACAUAUGCGAAUCUAAGAGGACGUCAGCAUACUUCCCUCCCAAAAAAUCCUUACGGAAGGAGCUGUUGAAGCGGGAAGCUUGGACUUUUUUCUGUCACUUUACAGUGGAAUACUCCUGAAAGAUGGUGCGGAACUGUGGAUGGGCAGAGGCGAGGGACGCGGCCGCGCAGCGCGCACUCUGACGGGGCGCACGCAACGAGCGGCCGCUGGAGGAGAACGCGCACGGGAAGAUGCGUCUGGAUCCGUUCGGGAGGGAAACUUAGAUAUGUCAGUCAAACUGAGUAGGAAACGAGGACUGUAUAUCUCUGCUCUAUUGGGGAGAUCAAAUGAAAUGAAGACGCACAUCAAGGUUUUUUCUUCCAAGCAUGGCGGUGAUAAUUGGAUUGUGUGGACACCUGUAUGAGUGCAGUAUAUCCAGAGGAUUAAAGGAUGUGAUGGGUGUUGCAGGUUCUGUCCAAACCUGUGGUUCAUGUGCACCUUGAAUGCUUCAGCUGAAUUCUCUUGAUUUGUCAUCUACUUGAGGGCCAGACCUGCAUCCUGCAUCAACUUUGACCUCAAGAGGAAUGCAAGUGUUAAAGUGAUUUUACAUAUAGAAUAUACUUAGUGUCAAGUAAGUAUAUAAAAGUAUAUACCGUUUAAUUUGACUAUAAUCUAUUUAUCAAGACGAUUACAUUUUUGAUAAUACCAUAUAUUCUAUGUUAUAUACUAUGUAUAUAUUUCAUUUUCUGUGAUUUUUUUUGUCUUUUAUGUAAAGCUGCUUUGAAACAUUGGAACAUUGUAAAAAAAAGUGCUAUAUAAAUACAUUUGACUUGAUUCAUUUUGUCCAGUGUGACUCAUUUUACCAAACGGAUUUGAGGAGCUCAGUUGCAAAAGCCACUAAAUGCCACCUUUGUCAAAGAUAAAAUAAUGAUAUUAACCUUAUGAUCUGGGCACAUAUUAUAUGUUCAUACAUUUACUUUAAAUCUGCUUAAUCCCUGCCAGUCAUAAAUACUGUUUUGUUGGCAGAAUCUGCUAAAUGCCACAUAUAUUUUUUGCAAAAAAAAAGAUGAAUUGGAUGAACGAUGGCGCACGGAACGACCGUGGAUCACAUUUAAACUUGUGUACCUUGUCACUACUAGGACCAGAAUACAACCCGAAUGUCGCAGUCACAAGGAUCACAGCACCCCUUAUUGUCUGAUUCAGUUUCUUCAUUUUUACUUGAUUGCUGACUUUCAUUAUUUGCAAUGUUUCUAGUUGCAUUUUUAGUAAUUUUGCAACUGUGAACUAUGUCUUGUCCAAAGAAGUGGAUUUUCUUUUUAAAAGUGCAGGUUUUUGCACUUAGAGGGUUUUGCAGCGAAAAACAAAGUUAAAUUUGUUCAAUACCAGUGAAAUGACUAAAUUAACAUUUGUAAAAUUAAACAUUUCUAUUAUUGACUAAUAACCUUUUCAUUGCCAUUAAAGUGAAAUUACUGAACAUCUGCAUCUGAACUCCAUCUGAAGCGCAUCUAAAGUACUAUUCACAUGGGAUUUGUAUUAUCUGGGGACCUCAUGUGAUUUAGAGUUUUUGUUGUAAACGGCCGCGUUGCAAAGCGCUGCGUUGAGCGUCAGUGGAUUCUAUUUAGAAACGGUUCUACGAUGUUGCGGCUGACAGCUCUACCUAAACUUAGAGAUCUCAAGUAAUGACAGUUCUGCACAUUUUUAAUAUUAACCAUCAAACAUGGACGAGGACAGACUGAUUGACGUGUAAAUUUAGAAAUAUAUAAUAAAUCCCUCAUUUUUCACAAGUAAAAGCCAUAAAAAGCGGAGGGAUAUGUAUGUACGCUUCUUAGCUGCAGUGCGAGAGGCGCAGAAACAUAGAAAAACGAAAUAAAAAAGGCACACAGGUAACACAAGCCUUUAUAAAUGAUAUAUGACCCCACCAAUUCCUGGCCAAAUUACAGAGAUGCCAAUUCGCGCGGGACUAAUAUUAUCAGAGGACCUCGGUGUUCGGCGAAAUAUGGUAGGUAAUUGCGGGGGAAAUUUUUACUUUACAAAUUACAGCCAUGGCAGAUUCGCACGGGAUUAAGAUCACAGACAACCUCUGCAAUUAUUACAAAUCACUAGAGGUCACCAGGUAAUACUUAUCCUGUGCGAAUAGGGUUUAAGUUUUGCAUCUGAACUCCUCAUUUCAUUUGUUUUAUGUAGUGUAGGUUUUUAAAGCAAGAUAACUGAUGGUCUUCAAAAACUAUCUUUAUAAUAUUUUUGAAUCCACAAAGUCUUGUUAUACAUCAAUAAAACAUACAAAUUAAAAUGUUUAAAGACUGCUUUUUGUCAUUUUGUUUUCAGAAAAUGAAUGCACUUUUUCUUUAUUUAAUAAAGAAAAGGAGAUGUU
Paramisgurnus dabryanus is the source of this 2546-nucleotide long non-coding RNA. RefSeq lists it as uncharacterized. NCBI's taxonomy places the organism in Eukaryota, Metazoa, Chordata, Actinopteri, Cypriniformes, Cobitidae. The record is from RefSeq and is a predicted model, not a curated record.